This is a long non-coding RNA of Corvus hawaiiensis (hawaiian crow), 479 nucleotides long. RefSeq lists it as uncharacterized. Lineage: Eukaryota; Metazoa; Chordata; Aves; Passeriformes; Corvidae. The record is from RefSeq and is a predicted model, not a curated record. The transcript has 3 exons.
ACGAGCUCUUUGCUGGAAAGGUGAAGGUCACGGUCAUUUUCUCCGUCACAGGCAGCUCCUGGCUCCGUAUCUGUCUGUUCCCAUCCCUCCAGUGCUCCAGGACACCAUCACAGCUGAGUGUCUGUCGCACCGGCCGUGGCACCGACAUUCCCGACUGGGAGCCGUGGUGGUGGAGGCUGCUGAUGGCCAGGCCAGGAGGUGCUGACUCCGCUGCAGACGGCCUUGAGACGCACCGGGAAUGCCGUGGCCAGCUGGAAAACCGCCUGUCCCCGGAGCCGUGCUGUGCUGUGCCAUUCCGUGCUGUUCUGUGCCGUGGGGAGCCCGAGGACGAGCCAUGAAGGACAGCAGAGGGGACACACCAGCCAGGGGGUCCCAACACAGAGCUGCUGGAGUCACGAAACUCUUUCCCAGGGCUCCCACACCACCGGUGGCUGCACAUCGUGUCCCCCCACACCGGGAUCCGCACCGCGCUCCCAUUC